Molecule: transfer RNA, 75 nt
Filed under: Vitreoscilla stercoraria
Lineage: Bacteria; Pseudomonadati; Pseudomonadota; Betaproteobacteria; Neisseriales; Neisseriaceae
Also listed under: 3 other names
Description: tRNA-Gln
Rfam family: tRNA
About the family: Transfer RNA (tRNA) molecules are approximately 80 nucleotides in length.
Source: RNAcentral
UGGGGUGUCGCCAAGUGGUAAGGCACUGGAUUUUGAUUCCAGCAUUCGUAGGUUCGAUCCCUACCACCCCAGCCA